This is a long non-coding RNA of Mustela lutreola (European mink), 2420 nucleotides long. RefSeq lists it as uncharacterized. The transcript has 6 exons. NCBI's taxonomy places the organism in Eukaryota, Metazoa, Chordata, Mammalia, Carnivora, Mustelidae. The record is from RefSeq and is a predicted model, not a curated record.
GAGAGAGAGAUCACAAGUAGGCAGAGAGGCAGGCAGAAGGAGAGGGGGAAGCAGGCUCCCUGCUGGGGUCUGGCAGGCCCAAUCUGCAGGCACUGAGGUGAGGAAUCACAAAAUCCUACCCCUGAAGCAAAGGAAUUAACACUACAUGGAAGCAAAUUGGAAUUGAAGUCAAGGAAGGAAAGAAGACCAUGUUCUACGUCAUGAAGGGUGAGCAAUUGGAGCAGGUGUGCAGGCUUUAGGUGGGAGACACCUACUUAUCCGCACCUGACAACCCUUCUUCACUCUGGCUCCACGAGACCUGAAGUUUGGAAAUCAGCGUCCGAGCCAGUCAUCCAGCUUGUCUCAGGAUGUCAGCGUUCAGAGAAAACAGCAGGCCCAUGGGGCACAAUGUCACAUCCAUGUCAGGAUGAGAGUUUCAUGGGUGAUGAAGUCAGAAGGAGAGUCUUUGGGAAUUUCCCUGGAUAAAAGCAAUCUGGUGGUUUCAAGGGACUUGGCAUAAGGAACCCUGGGGUGAAUUUCUGUGGCUGCUUGCCUGACGCUUGGUGAGGAUAUCACAAAAUCCACGCAAUUAACACUGAAGCAAAGGAAUGAACACUGCAUGGAAACAAAUUGGAAUUGAAGUCAAGGAGGAAAGAAGAAGACCAUGUUCUACUUCAUGAGACUGAGGCUUCUGUCCCCUGGGGCCUGUACCCCAAGCCCUCCUGAUUGAGGAUGUUGGAGCCACACUCAAGGAGUCUGCCUGCCUCCCAGAUGAAAACUGCAGAGAUGCACAGACCCCUCAGACCAGGAGAAACCUGCAUAUUUCCCUGAGGCCAACCCCAAAUUCAGUAACCCCCACCAUAGCCUGACAAGCUGCAUGACCCCUGUUCUCAACUCAGACCCAUGGAGAUCCUGCCUCAAUGCCCACAGAUCAGACCUGCCAUGCCCCUAGGCCUUAACCCUAAACCUAGGUUGUGUUUUCAGGCUUCUGUCCCUAGAGGCCUGGCCCCCAAGCCUUCCAGAUUGGGGACUCCUGAGCCACACCCCAGGACUCCGCCUGCCACCUAGGAGGAAUCCAUGUCAUUUGGAGAUGCACAAAACCCUCAGAGCAGGAGAACCCUGCAUGCUCCUGUGAGUCCACUCCCAUCUUCAGUACCCCACUGGGCCACCAACACAGCCUGAUCUCAGCUGGACCCCCUCCCUCAACACUGCCCCCAGACAGCUCCUAUUAGCUGGGGCCUUCAAGGGAGCCUUGUGGUCCUGGCCUGAGUUCCCGCAUUGUUGCAACACACUCCUAGUGAGAAAAUGCUCUAAACAAUGGAUGCAACUCUUGGUUCUUCUGUGGACCUAGGUUAGGGGCUAGGUUCCACAGUGGCUACAACAGCCUGCAUACCUACCAACAGUGCAGGAGGGUUCUGCUCUAAGCAGAGCUUUACCUACCAGCAAUUUCCUAAGGAGGAAAUGGAAAGCUGAUUCACCCAGAUUUAGGCAAGCAGCUACAGAAAUUCACCCUAGAGUUCCUAAAGCCAAACUCCUUAAAGCCACCAGCAUGCCUCUAACCUGGAGUAUUCCCAAAGACUCUCCUUGUGACUUCAUCACAAAUGAUACUGCAGAGAAAAUAUGGCAUGUCCAACUAUCUAGAUGAUCCAUUAAGUGAAACUAGAAAGUCAUGCUUCACUUGUAAAUCCUCAAAGCCUCCUUAGGAUCAUUUUGAAUUUUCCCUCUACCCUCACUGUAACUCUUUGGCUGAAAUGAUGAAUCAGUUAGGAUACAUCACCUUUGACAAAGGACAAGACAUUAUCCAAGUCUCUAUCUGACCACAAACAGCCACCUAACUCUAGAUGCUGGCCACUCCACCACAGCCUAGGCCCAAUGAAAUAAACACUGUUAGAUGAAGGAAUGCAUUUUAUUUUAAGAGUACACACUGAGUCUAUCUCAUCUUCCCUUUUGAAUCAAAGUGAUUGCCUGGGAAAAAGAUGUUCCAGAUACCUUCGUAAGCCAGAAAUGAACAGAGAAAAUGGGAUCCCCUGCCAAAUUCUACCUGCAGGGGAACUCAGGAACUCUGGCAUCCACUCUUGAUUUUUGAUAGCUGUUUCAGUUUGACUUUGUGCCCCCCCUAGAGACAAGAGAAAAGCCCAGGAAGAGAAGUUUUACCUCCCAUCCUGACGUGGAUGUGACAUUGCACCCAACACACCUGCUGCUUUCUAUGAAUGCUGACAUCCCAUGACAAACUGCAUGAUUUACUCUGACGCUGAUUUCAAAACUUCAGGACUCAUGGAACCAGAGUGAAGAGAGUUGUCAUUUGGGGAUAAGCAGGCAUCUCCAACCUAAGGCCUGCACAUCUGCUCCAAUUCCUUGGAGUAGGGGAGACACAUGCUUGUCUCUAAGUGGUAAUUAACUUCCUUGUACAGUCGACCAAUGCCAUUGUCCUUUUUGGAGAA